Molecule: long non-coding RNA, 1504 nt
Organism: Macrobrachium nipponense
Lineage: Eukaryota; Metazoa; Arthropoda; Malacostraca; Decapoda; Palaemonidae
Exons: 2
Source: RefSeq, a predicted model, not a curated record
UACAAGCAAACGAGCUGCCUGGUUCUCAUCUUGCUUUUCGAACGAAUAUAUAUACUUCUCCCGAAACCAGUUUCAUAUUAUUUGUUUUUUAAACGAAGGCACAGUCUUCAACUUUUUUCUGCUCUAUCUCUCUCUCUCUAUCUAACCCUUUCUUUCUGUGUGCCUAUUAGGCUUACUGUGCCCUGAUACUGGGUCACACGGUUUCAAAGUUCCGUCUCUCUCUCUCUCUCUCUCUCUCUCUCUCUCUCUCUCUCUCUCUUCUCUUUUUGUUCUCUCUCAGACCCGUAUAUAAACAGGACCCUGAGCUUCCCAGCUACACGAGAAGCAAGCGAGCCGUCUGAAUAGAACGUGUGCUGUGAUUACCUACAUAUCAUCAUGAGUAAGAUUCUUUUGACCCUGAUCCUCAGCAUCUUGGUAGCAUCAUGCCUGGCCUACCCAUACCCUGACCCAAGCCACAUAGACGGCGACUUCGGGUACUACCCAUCUGAUUUCGGGUAUUCCCAGUCCUACAUUCACCAGCAUGCAGGUGGCCACCUGCCCCAUUACCACCAUUAUGGGCAUACGCACUUCGUGGCUCCUCAAGUUCACGGGCAUAUCCACUGAGGAGGGGAAAAGUUGCCAAUGUUUCUUGGGUCUUUCAAUUUCGGGCAUGACAUGGAAUGAUAUGAGAGAUGUGGUAGAUAUUCCUUGCAGAUGAUGCUCAGGGGAUUUUAGGAAUGGGAAUUUUUCUCAUUUUUUUUUCUUCUUUAUUUAAGUUACAGUCUGUCAGUCACAAAGCUCUUCUUGUAUCGUAUUCAUAUUCAUUAUUAGUGUAGACAGUAAUUUCCAUGUAUUUAAUAGUGAAAUUUCACAAUAUGAAUCACUAAAAGUGUCAACUUAUUUACCAUAUUUCCUACUGGAAAUUAAUUUGUAUUGUAUAAAAAAAAAAAUUCAUGUUUAAAUAUGUCACUAAAAAUGUCGAUUUUUUACCAUAUUUUGUACUGAAGAUAAAUUUGUACUUUAUAAAAAAAAUUUUCAUGUUCAAAAAUGUCACUAAAAACAAUAUGGAUUUUUAAACCAUAUUUUGUACUGAAAAUUAAAUUGUAAUUUAUAUAUAUAAAAAAAAGUCAUAUUUUCUUGUCAAUAAAAAAUGUCGAUUUUUUCAACAUAUUUUUUUUACAGUAAGAUGACUGAUCUUAAGAAUAUCUGUUCGGUCAAUGGAUUAUAUAGUACAUUUACACGAGAUAUAGAUAUCUCAAUUUCAUUUUGUUUGUUUUUUGGUCAAAGGAAUUAUUACACCAAAGUCAUCAAGGCUGACUUCAAUUUCGACAGUGGUUUACACAUUUCCACCCAAUCCAAACAGAUAUUUGAAUUGACCUGUGAUUGUUUUCGGUAACAAUAAAUCUUACACGAAAAUAUCGUCAAAUGUUGUGACUCUAUUUACGUGCAUUUUCCUCUGUCAAAAACUCAGGGCCAGUUGUAUGGUUCCAAUAAUGUACGAGUAUAAAUAAAAUCGUUGUUUUUA